Molecule: ribosomal RNA, 509 nt
Filed under: uncultured bacterium
Lineage: Bacteria
Description: bacterial SSU rRNA
Rfam family: Bacterial small subunit ribosomal RNA
Source: RNAcentral
CUGGCUCAGGAUGAACGCUAGCUACAGGCUUAACACAUGCAAGGUCGAGGGGCAGCAUUGGGAUAGCUUGCUAUUCAGAUGGCGACCGGCGCACGGGUGAGUAACGCGUAUCCAACCUUCCUGCCAGUAGGGAACAGCCCGGCGAAAGUCGGAUUAAUGCCCUAUGUUCUUCAAUGCGGACAUCUAAGUUGAAGGAAAGAUUCAUCGCUGGCAGAUGGGGAUGCGUCCGAUUAGCUUGCCGGCGGGUAACGGCCCACCGGGGCGACGAUCGGUAGGGGUUCUGAGAGGAAGGUCCCCCACACUGGUACUGAGACACGGACCAGACUCCUACGGGAGGCAGCAGUGAGGAAUAUUGGUCAAUGGGCGUAAGCCUGAACCAGCCAAGUAGCGUGCAGGAUGACGGCCCUACGGGCUGUAAACUGCUUUUAUGCGGGGAUAAAGUGCGGCACGUGUGCCGCUUUGCAGGUACCGCAUGAAUAAGGACCGGCUAAUUCCGUGCCAGCAGCGGC